CAGUCGCCACGGUAAGACAAAGGAUGCAAGUGUUAUCCGGAAUGAUUGGGCGUAAAGCAUCUGUAGGUGGCUUUUCAAGUCCGCCGUCAAAUCCCAGGGCUCAAUCCUGGACAGGCGGUGGAAACUACCAAACUGGAGUACAGUAGGGGCAGAGGGAAUUUCCGGUGGAGUAGUGAAGUGCGUUUAGAUUGGAAAGAACACCAAUGGCGAAAGCACUCUGCUAGGCUGACACUUACACUGAGAGACGAAAGCUAGGGGAGAAAACGGGAUUAGAUACCCCGGUAGUCCCUGUCUCUUAUAC
Molecule: ribosomal RNA, 301 nt
Filed under: uncultured bacterium
Lineage: Bacteria
Description: partial 16S ribosomal RNA
Rfam family: Bacterial small subunit ribosomal RNA
Source: RNAcentral